ACCCGCACAAGCGGUGGAGCAUGUGGUUUAAUUCGACGAUACGCGAAGAACCUUACCUGGCCUUGACAUACUAAAAAGCUUUAAGAGAUUAGAGUGUGCUAGCUUGCUAGAAUUUAGAUACAGGUGCUGCACGGCUGUCGUCAGCUCGUGUCGUGAGAUGUUGGGUUAAGUCCCGCAACGAGCGCAACCCUCGUGUUUAGUUGCUAACAGUUCGGCUGAGAACUCUAAACAGACUGCCUACGCAAGUAGGAGGAAGGUGAGGACGACGUCAAGUCAUCAUGGCCCUUACGGCCAGGGCUACACACGUGCUACAAUGGGGUAUACAAAGAGCAGCGGUACGGUGACGUGGAGCAAAUCUAGAAAAUGCCUCUCAGUUCGGAUUGUAGUCUGCAACUCGACUACAUGAAGUUGGAAUCGCUAGUAAUCGUAGAUCAGCAAUGCUACGGUGAAUACGUUCCCGGGUCUU
This 466-nucleotide ribosomal RNA is filed under the name uncultured Arcobacter sp. RNAcentral describes it as "bacterial SSU rRNA". It matches the Rfam family "Bacterial small subunit ribosomal RNA", at positions 919 to 1382 of the family's 1533-position model. The record is from RNAcentral. Lineage: Bacteria; Pseudomonadati; Campylobacterota; Epsilonproteobacteria; Campylobacterales; Arcobacteraceae.